GGGAUUCGGUUUUGGGACUAGGGAAUGGUUUAAGGUUUUUGGCGUCAGGGUUGAAAUCACUGUCCAAAUCCUUUGUAGGAACUCUUUUCCAACCUUUUGGAGUUAGUUAGACCAAAAAAAAAGAAAAAUGAAAAAAAAAUAUUUGGGGUGUUCAGGCUUCCUUAAUGUAAUACCCGGGUAUUAGAUUUUAAUGCCAGGGUAAGGUUUAAGUUUUUCGGCGUUAGGGUUAAAAUCACUGUCCAAAACCUUUGUAGGAACUCUUUUCCAACCUUUUGGAGUUAGUUAGACCAAAAAAAAAUGAAAAACUAAAAAACAAUAUUUGGGGUUUUCGGGGUUCCUGAAUGUAAUACCCGGGUAUUAGAUUUUAAGGCUAGGGUAAGGUUUAAGGUUUUUGGCGUUAGGGUUAAAAUCACUGUCCAAAACCUUUGUAGGAACUCUUUUCCAACCUUUUGGAGUUAGUUAGACCAAAAAAAAAUGAAAAAUGAAAAAAAAAUAUUUGGGGUGUUCGGGAUUCCUGAAGGUAAUACCCGGGAAUUAGGUUAUGGGGCUAUGGUAAGUUUUAAGGUUUUUGGCGUUAGGGUUAAAAUCACUCUCCAAAACCUUUGUAGGAACUCUUUUCCAACCUUUUGGAGUUGGUUACACCAACAAAAAUGUAAAAUAAAGAAAAAAAUAUUUUGGGUGUUCGGGCUUCCUGAAGGUAAUACCCGGGUAUUAGAUUUUAAGGCUAGGGUAAGGUUUAAGGUUUUUGGCGUUAGGGUUAAAAUCACUGUCCAAAACCUUUGUAGGAACUCUUUUCCAACCUUUUGGAGUUGGUUACACCAACAAAAAUGUAAAAUGAAAAAAAAAUAUUUGGGGUGUUCGGGCUUCCUGAAGGUAAUACCCGGGUAUUAGGUUUUGGGACUAGGGAAAGGUUUAAGGUUUUUGGCGUUAGGGUUAAAAUCACUGUCCAAAACCUUUGUAGGAACUCUUUUCCAACCUUUUGGAGUUGGUUACACCAAAAAAAAUGUAAAAUGAAAAAAAAAAAAACUUGGGGUGUUCGGGCUUCCUGAAUGUAAUACCCGGGUAUUACAUUUUAAGGCCAGGGUAAGGUUUCAGUUUUUUGGCAUUAGGGUUAAAAUCACUGUCCAAAACCUUUGUAGGAACUCUUUUCCAACCUUUUGGAGUUGGUUAGACCAAAAAAAGAAAAAUGAAAAAAAAAUAUUUGGGGUGUUCAGGCUUCCUAAAAGUAAUACCCGUGUAUUAGGUUAUGGGGCUAUGGUAAGGUUUAAGGUUUUUGGCGUUAGGGUUAAAAUCACUGUCCAAAACCUUUGUAGGAACUCUUUUUCAACCUUUUGGAGUUAGUUCGACCAAAAAAAAAUGAAAAAUGAAAAAAAAAUAUUUGGGGUUUCCGGGCUUCCUUAAUGUAAUACCCGGGUAUUAGAUUUUAAGGCCAGGGUAAGGUUUAAGUUUUUUGGCAUUAGGGUUAAAAUCACUGUCCAAAACCUUUGUAGGAACUCUUUUCCAACCUUUUGGAGUUAGUUAGACCAAAAAAUAUGAAAAAAGAAAAAAAUAUUAUUGGGGGUUUUCGGGCUCCCUGAAAGUAAUACCCGUGUAUUAGGUUUUGGGACUAGGGAAAGGUUUAAGGGUUUUGGCGUUAGGGUUAAAAUCACUGUCCAAAACCUUUGUAGGAACACUUUUCCAACCUUUUGGAGUUAGUUAGACCAAAAAAAAAAGAAAAAUGAAAAAAAAAAUAUUUGGGGUGUUCAGGCUUCCUAAAAGUAAUACCCGGGUAUUAGGUUAUGGGGCUAUGGUAAGGUUUAACGUUUUGGCGUAAGGUUUAAAAUCACUGUCCAAAACCUUUGUAGGAACUCUUUAACAACCUUUUGGAUUUAGUUAGACCAAAAAAAAAGAAAAAUGAAAAAAAAAUAUUUGGGGUGUUCAGGCUUCCUAAAAGUAAUACCUGGGUAUUAGGUUAUGGGGCUAUGGUAAGGUUUAAGGUUUUUGGCGUUAGGGUUAAAAUCACUGUCCAAAACCUUUGUAGGAACUCUUUUCCAACCUUUUGGAGUUGGUUACACCAAAAAAAAUGUAAAAUGAAAAAAAAAUAUAUUUGGGGUGUUCGGACUUCCUGAAUGUAAUACCCGGGUAUUAGAUUUUGAGGCUAGGGUAAGGUUUAAGGUUUUUGGCGUUAGGGUUAAAAUCCCUGUCCAAAACCUUUGUAGGAACUCUUUUCCAACCUUUUGGAGUUAGUUAGACCAAAAAAUAUGAAAAAAGAAAAAAAUUUUAUUGGGGGUUUUCGGGCUCCCUGAAAGUAAUACCCGUGUAUUAGGUUUUGGGACUAGGGAAAGGUUUAAGGUUUUUGGCGUUAGGGUUAAAAUCACUGUCCAAAACCUUUGUAGGAACUCUUUUCCAACCUUUUGGAGUUAGUUAGACCAAAAAAAAAUGAAAAAUUAAAAAACAAUAUUUGGGGUUUUCGGGGUUCCUGAAUGUAAUACCCGGGUAUUAGGUUAUGGGGCUAGGGUAAGGUUUAAGUUUUUUGGCAUUAGGGUUAAAAUCACUGUCCAAAACCUUUGUAGGAACUCUUUUCCAACCUUUUGGAGUUGGUUACACCAACAAAAAUGUAAAAUGAAGAAAAAAAUAUUUGGGGUUUUCGGGGUUCCUGAAUGUAAUACCCGGGUAUUAGGUUUUGGGACUAGGGAAAGGUUUAAGGUUUUUGGCGUUAGGGUUAAAAUCACUGUCCAAAACCUUUGUAGGAACUCUUUUCCAACCUUUUGGAGUUAGUUAGACCAAAAAAAAAAAGAAAAAUGAAAAAAAAAUAUUUGGGGUGUUCAGGCUUCCUAAAAGUAAUACCCGGGUAUUAGGUUAUGGGGCUAGGGUAAGGUUUAAGGUUUUUGGCGUUAGGGUUGAAAUCACUGUCCAAAACCUUUGUAGGAACUCUUUUUUCAACCUUUUGGAGUUAGUUAGACCAAAAAAAAAUGAAAAAUGAAAAAAAAAAAUUUGGGGGUUUUCGGGCUUCCUGAAUGUAAUACCCGGGUAUUAGAUUUUAAGGCCAGGGUAAGGUUUCAGUUUUUUGGCAUUAGGGUUAAAAUCACUGUCCAAAACCUUUGUAGGAACUCUUUUCCAACCUUUUGGAGUUGGUUAGACCAAAAAAAAAGAAAAAUGAAAAAAAAAAUAUUUGGGGUGUUCAGGCUUCCUAAAAGUAAUACCCGGGUAUUAGGUUAUGGGGCUAUGGUAAGGUUUAAGGUUUUUGGCGUUAGGGUUAAAAUCACUGUCCAAAACCUUUGUAGGAACUCUUUUCCAACCUUUUGGAGUUAGUUAGACCAAAAAAAAAUGAAAAAUGAAAAAAAAAAUAUUUGGGGUUUUCGGGCUUCCUGAAUGUAAUACCCGGGUAUUAGAUUUUGAGGCUAGGGUAAGGUUUAAGUUUUUUGGCAUUAGGGUUAAAAUCACUGUCCAAAACCUUUGUAGGAACUCUUUUCCAACCUUUUGGAGUUGGUUACACCAACAAAAAUGUAAAAUGAAGAAAAAAAUAUUUGGGGUGUUCAGGCUUCCUGAAGGUAAUACCCGGGUAUUAGAUUUCAAGGCUAGGGUAAGUUUUAAGGUUUUUGGCGUUAGGGUUAAAAUCACUGUCCAAAACCUUUGUAGGAACUAUUUUCCAACCUUUUGGAGUAAGUUAGACCAAAAAAAAAAAGAAAAAUGAAAAAAAAAUAUUUGGGGUGUUCAGGCUUCCUAAAACUAAUACCCGGGUAUUAGGUUAUGGGGCUAUGGUAAGGUUUAACGUUUUGGCGUUAGGUUUAAAAUCACUGUCCAAAACCUUUGUAGGAACUCUUUUUCAACCUUUUGGAGUUAGUUAGACCAAAAAAAAAAAGAAAAAUGAAAAAAAAAAUAUUUGGGGUUUACGGGCUUCCUGAAUGUAAUACCCGGGUAUUAGAUUUUA
Molecule: long non-coding RNA, 3910 nt
Filed under: Xyrichtys novacula (pearly razorfish)
Lineage: Eukaryota; Metazoa; Chordata; Actinopteri; Labriformes; Labridae
Source: RNAcentral